UAAGGAAUAUUGGUCAAUGGACGCAAGUCUGAACCAGCCAUGCCGCGUGAAGGAUGAAGGUCCUCUGGAUUGUAAACUUCUUUUAUCUGGGACGAAAACGGGAUUUUUAUCUCAAUUGACGAUACCAGAGGAAUAAGCACCGGCUAACUCCGUGCCAGCAGCCGCGGUAAUACGGAGGGUGCGAGCGUUAUCCGGAUUUACUGGGUUUAAAGGGUGCGUAGGUGGGCUUAUAAGUCAGUGGUGAAAUCUCCGAGCUUAACUUGGAAACUGCCGUUGAUACUAUAGGUCUUGAAUUAUCUGGAGGUAAGCGGAAUAUGUCAUGUAGCGGUGAAAUGCUUAGAUAUGACAUAGAACACCAAUUGCGAAGGCAGCUUACUACAUAUAAAUUGACGCUGAGGCACGAAAGUGUGGGGAUCAAACA
This 421-nucleotide ribosomal RNA is filed under the name uncultured bacterium. RNAcentral's name for it is "bacterial SSU rRNA". It matches the Rfam family "Bacterial small subunit ribosomal RNA", at positions 355 to 774 of the family's 1533-position model. The record is from RNAcentral.